AUUCUAUCCAUCAUGGAAGUUCUUCGAUAAAAAUAUAAAUUAAUAAAGAAUGGCUACUGUUUUAGAAGUUAAUUUUUUUAACACUCAAUCGGCGAAGGACUAAGGAAGAUUUAAGGCAUCCUCUCAUCUCUUUUUAUUGGCACACAGAACCGUCGAUACAACACAUUCGUCUAAAACUCUUAACUGAGCAUAAUAUCACGUACAAACAGAGUGGAAUGUAUGGUUUGCACAAAACAAAUGGAAUGCCAAAAUGUUAAUUAAAAAUAAUAGUUCCGUAAGGAACAAUUCCGCCAGUCAUCCGCAACUACUCAAUACUUGCCAGAUUAUAAUAUUAAAUAAAAAAUAAUUCAAGACUAGAGUUUUUUUUAAGUAAAACGCGCCGUGAAUCUCGUUAUUUACAGUAUACUAUUAUGUAAUAACGUGUAAAUGACAAAUUAUACAUUUCACUUUAUGGAAACGAUGCGACAGAACUAUACAGCGAUCAUUAAUUCGAUGCGAGACCUUGUAAAGAAGGAAUGAAAUUGCCACGGAGCGUUCCGCGCGAAUUCAUACGCGUGUUUGUAAUUCUGGUUACCGAUACAGCGCAAUUUUUUUUUAAAGUAUAAACUUUUAAAGGUCUGUUUAAAAUUCAUCCAUUUUAACCACGAAUAGAUCGAAUGUCAAAUGGAUGGACAAUUUUUUUACCCGCAAAGAAGAAAAAGUUGUUCGCUCCGUCUAAACAAGGUCUUGAACAUUAAAACAAUACACGGCGUAAUUGGCACUGAAGCUAAUAAUACCUAUAUACCAUAUAUACAAAGAUAGGAUUCGUUAUCGUAAAGAUAUCCAAUACUGCACGGAAUACUGUUAAUUCACGACGAUUUCAUUUUUAUAAUAUUCGAUUUACAAUAAAAUAAAAUUAAAAUGGACGCAAACAAUUACUUUAUUGCACGAAAAAUAAACAAAAAUAAAACAUUUAUACAACGUGUUAUUGGCCUGGCCUCGAUCUCGGAUAACCUAUGGUCGUUAAUAUCAUAAUAAUUCUACAUUUCCUCAUCAAUUCUCUCAAAACCACUCCCGCAAACUUUAGGCACUGGUUUUUUGCUAAUACAUAAUAUCAAAGCUAAUUUUAAUAUUUAAUUUUUCGAUAUACACCUUAUA
Molecule: unclassified non-coding RNA, 1137 nt
Filed under: Melitaea cinxia (Glanville fritillary)
Lineage: Eukaryota; Metazoa; Arthropoda; Insecta; Lepidoptera; Nymphalidae
Description: misc RNA ENSMCXG00005007615.1
Source: RNAcentral